Molecule: ribosomal RNA, 468 nt
Filed under: uncultured bacterium
Lineage: Bacteria
Description: partial 16S ribosomal RNA
Rfam family: Bacterial small subunit ribosomal RNA
Source: RNAcentral
GACGAACGCUGGCGGCGUGCUUAACACAUGCAAGUCGAACGGAAAGGCCCUGCUCUUGUGGGGUGCUCGAGUGGCGAACGGGUGAGUAACACGUGAGUAACCUGCCCUUGACUUUGGGAUAACUUCAGGAAACUGGGGCUAAUACCGGAUAGGAGCUCCUGCUGCAUGGUGGGGGUUGGAAAGUUACGGCGGUUGGGGCUGGACUCGCGGCUUAUCCGCUUGUUUGUCGGGUAGUGGUGUACCAAGGCUUUGACGGGUAGCCCGCCUGAGAGGGUGAACGGCAACAUUGCGACUGAGAGACGGCCCAGCCGCCUACGGGAGGCAGCAGGGGGGAAUAUUGCACAAUGGGCGGAAGCCUGAUGUAGCAACGCUGCGUGCGGGAUGACGGCCUUCGGGUUGUAAACCGCUUUCGCCUGUGCCGAAGCGUGAGUGACGGUAAUGGGUAAAGAAGCACCGGCUAACUACGUG